AUGCCUGCCCAAGGGGGAUGUGAGACCCAGCGUGGGACUCACAGGAGCUGGGAGUUGCUGAAGAUGCUGAAGAUGCUGAAGAUGCUGAAGGCAGACACAUGGGCAGAGCAGCCAAAUGUCAGCUGGCUGCUGCAGGGAGGCCAGUGCUGGUGGGGCUGGGAGGCAGCAGGAGCUGUGGCAGCAGGGAUGGAGCCCAGGACCUCAGGGCAGGGAGCUAAGAUUAGACUGGAAAAAAUAUUUGUGCUGUAUGUCCAUCUCAGAGAUCAUGGAUGCAGAAUUAGGUAA
RNAcentral lists this long non-coding RNA (285 nucleotides) under Chloebia gouldiae (Gouldian finch). RNAcentral describes it as "Erythrura gouldiae (Gouldian finch) lncRNA (ENSEGOG00005004775.1)". Lineage: Eukaryota; Metazoa; Chordata; Aves; Passeriformes; Passeridae. The record is from RNAcentral.